UUGCUUGCUUUGGCAACACAUAUACUAAAACUGGAAUACAGAGAAGAUUAGCAUGGCCCCUGCACAGGAUGACAUGCAGAUUUGUGAUGCAUUCCACUUUUUU
Mandrillus leucophaeus (drill) is the source of this 103-nucleotide small nuclear RNA. NCBI's taxonomy places the organism in Eukaryota, Metazoa, Chordata, Mammalia, Primates, Cercopithecidae. The record is from Ensembl.